GAUGAACGCUGGCGGCGUGCCUAAUACAUGCAAGUCGAGCGAACGGACGAGAAGCUUGCUUCUCUGAUGUUAGCGGCGGACGGGUGAGUAACACGUGGAUAACCUACCUAUAAGACUGGGAUAACUUCGGGAAACCGGAGCUAAUACCGGAUAAUAUUUUGAACCGCAUGGUUCAAAAGUGAAAGACGGUCUUGCUGUCACUUAUAGAUGGAUCCGCGCUGCAUUAGCUAGUUGGUAAGGUAACGGCUUACCAAGGCAACGAUGCAUAGCCGACCUGAGAGGUUGAUCGGCCACACUGGAACUGAGACACGGUCCAGACUCCUACGGGAGGCAGCAGUAGGGAAUCUUCCGCAAUGGGCGAAAGCCUGACGGAGCAACGCCGCGUGAGUGAUGAAGGUCUUCGGAUCGUAAAACUCUGUUAUUAGGGAAGAACAUAUGUGUAAGUAACUGUGCACAUCUUGACGGUACCGAAUCAGAAAGCCACGGCUAACUACGU
RNAcentral lists this ribosomal RNA (496 nucleotides) under uncultured bacterium. Its description in RNAcentral is "partial 16S ribosomal RNA". It matches the Rfam family "Bacterial small subunit ribosomal RNA", at positions 28 to 506 of the family's 1533-position model. The record is from RNAcentral.